AUAAAGAAUAAUUAGUGGCAGACGGGUGAGUAAUGCAUAGGAAUCUACCUAGUAGUAUGGGAUAGCCACUAGAAAUGGUGGGUAAUACUGUAUAAUCCCUGCGGGGGAAAGAUUUAUCGCUAUUAGAUGAGCCUAUGUUAGAUUAGCUAGUUGGUAGGGUAAAGGCCUACCAAGGCGAUGAUCUAUAGCUGGUCUGAGAGGAUGAUCAGCCACACUGGAACUGAGAUACGGUCCAGACUCCUACGGGAGGCAGCAGUGGGGAAUAUUGGACAAUGGGCGCAAGCCUGAUCCAGCUAUGCCGCGUGAGUGAGGAAGGCCUUAGGGUUGUAAAACUCUUUCAGUAGGGAAGAUAAUGACGGUACCUACAGAAGAAGUCCCGGCAAACUCCGUGCCAACAGCCGCGGUAAUACGGAGGGGGCAAGCGUUGUUCGGAAUUAUUGGGCGUAAAGGGCAUGUAGGCGGUUCGGUAAGUUAAAGGUGAAAUGCCAGGGCUUAAC
RNAcentral lists this ribosomal RNA (497 nucleotides) under Anaplasma phagocytophilum. RNAcentral's name for it is "bacterial SSU rRNA". It matches the Rfam family "Bacterial small subunit ribosomal RNA", at positions 81 to 613 of the family's 1533-position model. The record is from RNAcentral. Lineage: Bacteria; Pseudomonadati; Pseudomonadota; Alphaproteobacteria; Rickettsiales; Anaplasmataceae.